CGGUACCGGAAUAAGAAGCACCGGCUAACUACGUGCCAGCAGCCGCGGUAAUACGUAGGGUGCGAGCGUUAAUCGGAAUUACUGGGCGUAAAGCGUGCGCAGGCGGUUUGAUAAGACAGGCGUGAAAUCCCCGGGCUUAACCUGGGAACUGCGCUUGUGACUGUCUCACUAGAGUACGGCAGAGGGGGUGGAAUUCCACGUGUAGCAGUGAAAUGCGUAGAGAUGUGGAGGAACACCGAUGGCGAAGGCAGCCCCCUGGGCCGAUACUGACGCUCAUGCACGAAAGCGUGGGGAGCAAACAGGAUUAGAUACCCUGGUAGUCCACGCCCUAAACGAUGUCAACUAGGUGUUGGGUGGGUAAAACCAUUUAGUACCGGAGCUAACGCGUGAAGUUGACCGCCUGGGGAGUACGGCCGCAAGGUUAAAACUCAAAGGAAUUGACGGG
RNAcentral lists this ribosomal RNA (445 nucleotides) under uncultured bacterium. Its description in RNAcentral is "bacterial SSU rRNA". It matches the Rfam family "Bacterial small subunit ribosomal RNA", at positions 473 to 917 of the family's 1533-position model. The record is from RNAcentral.